Molecule: long non-coding RNA, 857 nt
Filed under: Homo sapiens (human)
Lineage: Eukaryota; Metazoa; Chordata; Mammalia; Primates; Hominidae
Description: long non-coding RNA NONHSAT199909.1
Source: RNAcentral
CUCCAAAGUAGGAGUUGCCUCCGACCAGGGAAGGGGAUUCCAACGCAAUGCUAGGUGACACUGAAGUGGUCAUUUAUAACUACGUUACUAUGGAGACAGGAAAGAUAUAUAUUUAUCCAAACCUGGGGAUGAAUUAAUCUUAAAAAGAUGAGUACAAGUACUUCAACAGAUGAGGACGAUCUGAAGGUUAGGACAUCUGAUUUUGGUUCUCCAAAUAGGAAGGCUGUUUGCUUCAUGUGAAUAGGAGCAAAGCCCAAGGAGAGGACACCUUCACCCUCCAACCCUUCUGAGUAAAACGGAGAUCCUAUCCCUAAAGCAAGGCUCCAAGUCAAUGGGCCUGUGCACAAUAGAAGAACAUCUGGCCUCGGGGACACGUUUACCUCUAGGCAAAGAGCAGGAGCGCAGUAUUGAGUAUUGUUGUAAACAAUACCAUUUGGAAACCUGGUUCCGCUCCUGUGAGUCCAGCAAACGCCUCAAAGACGCCCUUUUAGGAUUUCUUUAAAUUAAUCUGAGACAACGUGGGAAUACUCUCUAUAUAGUAUCUAGCCUACUGGAUAUGUGGUUUUUGUUGUUGUUGUUGUUUGUUUUAUUUUUAUUUUUGGCACGGCACUGAAGUCUGUGUAAAUAAAAGGCCCAGAUAAACUCGGCGAUGGGCCUUUCUGUCAAAACCAGGCUGGCUUUACAUGGCAAAACCAGGGCCUUACGUGUUUGGACACCUGACUUUCCAUGUCGCCCGUAAAAUCGCUGGUAGGGAAACAUUUUAAUUUAGUAGGCACCUUAUUUUUACCGAGAUGCUUAAGGCUGUCACGAGCUACUACUCUUGAUGGUAGUAGGAAAUAAACACGAGCGAUGAAAAC